Molecule: transfer RNA, 82 nt
Filed under: Arenicella xantha
Lineage: Bacteria; Pseudomonadati; Pseudomonadota; Gammaproteobacteria; Arenicellales; Arenicellaceae
Description: tRNA-Leu
Rfam family: tRNA
About the family: Transfer RNA (tRNA) molecules are approximately 80 nucleotides in length. Their secondary structure includes four short double-helical elements and three loops (D, anti-codon, and T loops).
Source: RNAcentral
GCCCAGGUGGUGAAAUUGGUAGACACGCUAUCUUGAGGGGGUAGUAGCGCAAGCUGUGCCGGUUCAAGUCCGGCUCUGGGCA